CUGAAGUCCAUCCAGGAAGCGUUUUGCUGAAUACUUUCAGUUGCCAUCGAGAUAUCAUGAUGAGAUAGCAGUAAUGUGAUAGUUCUGUGUAAUACAAUAUGCCACUUUUUAGAAAAAACUAAACACAUUUCGUAACGUUAAUCCUGAGUUUUUUUUCGGAGUUUGUUUUCAUGGCAUAGUUAGACAAAUAGCCAUGUGUAUCGUCAACCUUGUUGCAGAAUGGAUCAAUAGUAUAUGCAGAAUAAGCGUUGUCUAAUCCAACAACUGUGUGGUUUAAUUUACCACUGAACUAACUCCAGCAUUAAACUCAUUUUAAAUAAUGUCGAAACUAGUGGGCACUGCGGGGGUCUCUGUGUUGGGCGACAAAUCUUUGGAGUUUUACCGAGAUCCAGUGGCUUUUUGUGAACAACGUAUUGAAAAGCAUGGGACACGGAUAUUUCAAUCAAGACUUCUGAACAAACCAACUUCCUUCGUCUGUUCGGUGGAAGGGAUGAAGGAAUUACUUUGCGAGAAGUCAUCUGUGUUCCUGAAAGACCCCACUGAUGUAAUGCACAACAUGUAUGGAGACAACAUAGUGACUGCUAAUGGCGAGGAAGCCUGCUUGCUGCGUCUGUCUCUCACCAACCUUUUCACAGGAAAGUGUCUGGCCUCAGGCUCUGACCUCAUUAACAGUGUUUCUGAACGGUGCUUGAAGAACCUUUCUGCAACUGGGGAGCCCGUGUCGGUGUACCCUCUGUUUAAACGACUGGGAACAGAACUGGUGUUGGGGCUGUUCCUGAAUGUGAACCCAGAUGAGACACCAGAGCUUUUCCAGGAAAUUACAGCACUUUGUACCCUACACUGGCAUGGGAUCAUCUCAACUCCAAUCAGUGUGAAGGUUCCUCUGUGGUCCUCUGGCUUUUGCACAGCGCUGGAGGCUAAAGACAAGCUCAUGGACAUCAUUAAAGACAAGCUGGAGUGUCAGAGACAGGGGUUUGUAGGUUAUCUCCGUGAUCUACCUCUCCCUGAUGCCAGUUGUGCCUCCCAGCAUCUGCUGUUGUUCAUCUCUGCUCUGAUCCCCAAAGCCCUGGCAUCCUUACUCACCUCCUUCACCCUGGUUCUGAGUGGCGCAGGCAAGAAGGAAAUUAGGAAUCGUGCGAGGGCAGACCCUGAUUACCUUUACUACGUCCUCCUGGAAGUACAGAGACUUUGGCCUCCGUUCAUUGGUGGAAGGAGAAUAGCCAAUCAAGACACUACUCUGGGAGGCUUCCACAUUCCCAAGGCUUACGCUGCCAUGUACAUCAGCCACGCCAUCCACCGCGACCCGGAAGUGUUCCACCAGCCAGAGGACUUCCUGCCAGAGAGGUGGUGUGGAAGAAACGCAGGACAGGAGCACCUCCUCUGCAGCCUAGGCAACGGCCCCAGGAACUGCAUCGGAGUCCAGCUGAACAACGUCUUUCUCAAGGUGACUCCUCUCCUUUCCUCUCCUCCCUCAUCUUUCUACUCUAAUCACUUUUCUCUCCUCUCAUCACUCUUAUUUUAUUUUUCUCCACCAAAGUUAUCGUUGAUCUUUUUUUAAUGGAUUUAACAUGACGCUACCAAUGUCUUUUAAAUGUAAAUACUAUAAGGUCUAUGUACAUUUGUUGAUUAAAAAAAGUCCUACAUUACUGAUCAUUUAGAUAGGACUGGUCUGUCUGCAGUGCCUGAAGUCUACAGUUUCUCCAGAAAGUAAAGCAUCCCUCAGGAGACAGGGAUUUUCAGUAGGGAUUCCUCUUGGCUAAAGGGGUAAUGUUACGGUGGUAAGUUUUGCUGUGGAUGUUCUAUUGGCUGCUUGUAAGAAAAGGCCAGCUGUGCAGGGCCCUCUGUGGCGUCAUUACCAGGCUAGCAACCGCUGACUGAGACUGUCUGUCUGCGUCCCAAAUGGCACCCUAUUCCCUAUAUAGUGUUCUACUUUUGACCAGAGGCCCUGGUCAAACGUAGUGCACUACAAAGGGAAUAGGGUGCCAUUUGGGUUACAGACCUGUCCAGACCUGGAACACUCAGUGGGAGGCAGGUGAGAAAGAGGACAGGUGUGCUGCGGCCAUAAUGACAGUAAGGUGGGAGGGGAUCCACUUCCUGUUUCUGGUGUCUAUGAUAACGUGGUGUGUACUGGCAGUAUAUAUGCAGUGGCUUAGAUGGGCAGGAGGCAGGAGUCAUAGCAUCUGAUCACCAGAGCUCGCUCUGCUUAUCUGUCUAUGGCACAGAGAGAUGUGAGACAGGCCCUGUUGACAGGGAUAUUGAUGUCCCAUGUUUGCUGUUCGCAGUCAGGGUCGGCCGGUGGUGGUGACACAUGAUGUCCAGUAAUUGCACUCUGAAAACCAACACAGCAAGAAUUGUUUUAACAACAGCAGCUGCGAAAACCCCCACAUACACACCACACUACGUCCUACUACCCUGGCCUGGUCGGCAGAUCAUAUCAGGCCUCUGCGGGGCGGUGAGGGAGGCUGGGUUCCUACUACCCUGGCCUGGUCGGCAGAUCAUAUCAGGCCUCUGCGGGGCGGUGAGGGAGGAGGUUGGGUUCCUACUACCCUGGCCUGGUCGGCAGAUCAUAUCAGGCCUCUGCGGGGCGGUGAGGGAGGAGGUUGGGUUCCUACUACCCUGGCUGCGUCCCAAAUGGCACCGUAUUCCCUUUUUAGCAUUCUACUUUUGACCAGGGCCCAUAGGGACACUGUAGUAACGCCCAUGGGGCUCUGGUCAAAAAUAGUGCACGAUAUAGGGAAUAAGGUGCCAUUUAGAAGGCAGCGUUAUCCUGCCAGAUCAGCCUGCUUCCUCUGACGUACUGAACUGAGUGUCUGUACUGAGCUCUCUAAUGCCCACUGAUAGACAAGGAUCUGGGAGAUUACCAUCCACUCAGCAGGGAGUAUGACUCACUCUCUAUUGCUUUUUAUCCAAUAGAACUAGAUACUGUCAGUCAAAUAAACGGUAGGUACCACCACAGUACUUCAUCCAGCCCAUCAUUCACCCUGGGAAUUGCAGAUGUUCAGAACUAUGCAGCAGUAAGAGACUCCAAAGGCACAGCAUUGUAACAGGAGGAGCUGGUGUGUGCUUACGGACAUCAUCAACUUCCAUACAUCUUUUUUUUUUCUAGGAGAAAAUAAUCACCCUCCCUUCUCCUGUUCAAUGAUUUAGUGCAGGCGGACGGACAAGGCUGUAGUGAGGGAUGACUCAACCCUGAUCAUCUUAUCAUGGGAGAGUUGAUGCUGAACUAUACUUACGCUGCAUACAGAUGUGCUGACUGACAAAGGCGGCCAUAUGGCUGCUAUAAGAACUGGUUAGCUGGCUUAGAUGUUUUGUUUGUUGGAAUGGAAUCAAUUGUGUCAUUGCUUAAUUAUGGUGUAGGUAGGUUUAUUGGGAAAAUACUGUAUAGGUCUCAAACUCAUAUAUGAGAUAUUGUGUCUCUCAGAGUAACUGAUAUUUGAUGACAGAGCCAGAGCAGAAAGCAUAUCUUUGAGAUAGUUACCAUGGCAACAGACAUACAGUGGUUUGAGAGGAUGAGCUGUACUGAGCCUGUUGUAUCAAAACAGCCACUUUACCUAGGUCAGGUCAAAAUCUUAAGCGAUAAAAGUAAUGUUGAUGUUUUGUAAAAGUAAUAAUAUAUUACUCUCAUAUGUUGACUAGAAUGCAAUUCCUCCCUGUUGUGGACAGACACCCAGUAACAGGUUUUGAUGGUAUAUACUGUAUAGGCCCUAUACGUGUCCAUUGUGGUACUCGACAGAUUCACAACGCUUAAGUUCAAAUCCUAGGUGAUAUUGCAUUAUAAAGAAGUGAUCUACUGUCUUGUCAUGUCAAGGCUGCUAACAAGCUGCAGUGGGCAGUGACGGUAACAUUGCACCCAGACAUACCCAUUCUGAGGAGCGGGGGUGACAGGGCGGUUUCAUGUCAUGGAAGAGAUGAGGCAUCACUGUUUGGCUUAGUAAAAUCCAGCGUGGCCAGUCCCCCAAACUCAGGCCACCCCUGAGGGGACAGUCCAUUUGUCAUCCUCCUUUACACAUGGCAGCCUCCACACCUACACACACAUCAGCAGUGCUUUCUCACUGGGCCAAUUUAAACAACAAAAAAUGAUGUGAUUGCGUUGAAUCAACGUGGAAAACUGAUUGCAUUUGCAAAUGGUCAUCAACAUAAGUGAAUUUUGUAUUUUUUUUCACUUUUAAUCUAAAUCCAGUGAGAUGGUGACAUGUUUUGAACUGACAUCUGUUCCCAGUGGGCUCUCUCUCUACAGCAAAACCAAGAACACUACUACUGUAUAAGAGUGGUAUGAGAGGUGACAAGAUGUGAGACUCAUGGAUAUACUCUAAGGGUUGAUAUAUAUUAUAUCUAAGUAAAGCCAAUCAUAUAUUUCCCUUUAAGCAUGAAGGGAUAGAUUACGAGAAGAGAAAUGGGGUUAGUGUCAUGUUAGUGUGACACUAAAUUAGUGUCACGCAUCAACAUUUUUUAAAGCUUUUUAAAUGACAUGCAUUGGAAUAAUAGCCUGAUGGAAUCUGUCCUGAACAUGCUCUGUCCUUAUCCUUGUGAUUUAUUACCUGGCCCAUCCCAACUGCAGCAGUGUGGUCAUUACCGAGGCACAAUCACUAGAGAGGUGGAUGGUUGUCUCUGUUUUGGCCAGACUAGUGCAUGGGUUGGGUGUGACCAGAGACCAGCGAGGAGACUCUGGAGAGCAGUGGGAUGUAGGUCAGAAGCUGUGAGUCAUCUUUCCCCCUUCCCUCCCCCUUACCGCCUCUGGCAAAGGCACUCUCUCGGGAGAGAGAGGAGAGGCAAGGACGAUCUGUCACUCAUGUACUGUUAGCAUCAAACUGGUCACUUCAGAGAUCCUGCCAAAAUGCCACUCUGCAGUGGACGAACAAGACUCUACGACACAAGCAGCGCUGUAAUUUGUCGUUCAUUAGCCAGAUUGGCCAGAGUGAUUGUUCAUGUAGCCUAAUAUGUUGUCUUAAAGAGACAUCUCUAUUGUACAUGUAGCCUAAUGUGUUGUCUUAAAGAGACAUCUCUGUUGUACAUGUAGCCUAAUGUGUUGUCUUAAAGGGACAUCUCUAUUGUACAUGUAGCCUAAUGUGUUGUCUUAAAGGGACCUAAUGUGUUGUCUUAAAGGGACAUCUCUAUUGUACAUGUAGCCUAAUGUGUUGUCUUAAAGAGACAUCUCUAUUGUACAUGUAGCCUAAUGUGUUGUCUAAAAGGGACAUAAUGUGUUGUCUUAAAGAGACAACUCUAUUGUUCAUGUAGCCUAAUGUGUUGUCUUAAAGAGACAUCUCUAUUGUACAUGUAGCCUAAUGUGUUGUCUUAAAGGGACAUCUCUAUUGUACAUGUAGCCUAAUGUGUUGUCUUAAAGAGACAUCUCUAUUGUACAUGUAGCCUAAUGUGUUGUCUUAAAGGGACAUCUCUAUUGUACAUGUAGCCUAAUGUGUUGUCUUAAAGGGACAUCUCUAUUGUACAUGUAGCCUAAUGUGUUGUCUUAAAGGGACAUAAUGUGUUGUCUUAAAGAGACAUCUCUAUUGUACAUGUAGCCUAAUGUGUUGUCUUAAAGGGACAUAAUGUGUUGUCUUAAAGGGACAUCUCUAUUGUACAUGUAGCCUAAUGUGUUGUCUUAAAGGGACAUCUCUAUUGUACAUGUAGCCUAAUGUGUUGUCUUAAAGAGAUCUCUAUUGUACAUGUAGCCUAAUGUGUUGUCUUAAAGAGACAUCUCUAUUGUACAUGUAGCCUAAUGUGUUGUCUUAAAGAGACAUCUCUAUUGUACAUGUAGCCUAAUGUGUUGUCUUAAAUGGACAUAUUGUGUUGUGUCUUAAAGGGACAUCUCUAUUGUACAUGUAGCCUAAUGUGUUGUCUUAAAGAGACAUCUCUAUUGUUCAUGUAGCCUAAUGUGUUGUCUUACAGAGACAUCUCUAUUGUACAUGUAGCCUAAUGUGUUGUCUUAAAUAGACAUCUCUAUUGUACAUGUAUCCUAAUGUGUUGUCUUAAAGGGACAUAAUGUGUUGCGUCUUUUUAAUUAAAAAAAAAAUAAAUAAUAAUAAUAAUAUUUUUUUACCUUUAUUUAACUAGGCAAGUCA
This is an RNA transcript of Oncorhynchus tshawytscha (Chinook salmon), 6056 nucleotides long. It is a transcript of the gene named putative cytochrome P450 120, with no coding region annotated. Lineage: Eukaryota; Metazoa; Chordata; Actinopteri; Salmoniformes; Salmonidae. The record is from RefSeq and is a predicted model, not a curated record. The transcript has 11 exons.